UUUUUUUUUUUUUUUUAAUGUUUUUUUGGUUUUUUUUUUUUUGGCCACACCUGCAGCAUGCAGAAAUUCCUAUGCCAGAGAUUGAACCUGUGUCACAGCAGUGACAUUGCCAGAACCUUAACCCACUGAGCUACCCAGGAACUUCUGUAUGCAUUUUCAUUGUUAAUGAAAGAAAAGCAGUUUUUUAUGCCAAAAUGUAUCCCACAGCAUCCUGUUCUCAUUCAAACCCACGGAUAACUGAGCGAAGCCUGCUUUAGCCCAUUCCUCCUCCUUCAGGGUAUAGGAUGAUAUGCAGUUUGAACUAUUAUUUAUAAGUACCAGGUGGAGUAAAUAAUAGUUUAUUCAGUUGCCCUGAUGCUGUGCAGUUUGAACUUUAUUUAGUCUACCUGGUAUUUGUAUUUUGUGAUACAGAAAUUAUUAAACUUUUUUUUUUUUUUUUUUUUGUCUUUUUGCCAUUUCUUGGGCCGCUCCCUCGGCAUAUGGAGGUUCCCAGAAAAAACAAAAAGACUAAAAAAAAAGAAAGAUAGGGACUAUUGGCCAUCAGAUCACCUUCCAACAGCUACUGACACCUUGGAUAAUUCAUUUACUAUCUCCAUGCUCUCACAUACACACCUGUAAACUGGGAAUACUUUAAUCAUUCCUUUCUCAAAAGGUGACUGGGAGCAUUGAAUGAGUCUUUGUUAAAUACCUAGACCACUACCUAGGACAGUAGGUAGCAAGAACUCCCAACUGAAAUGGGACAUCCAUCCUCCAGCUACUCUCUAGUGUAAGUAUCAGAAAGCACAGUCUACUAAGCUCUGGAAUCCUCAGGAAACUACAGUGAGACAGAAUUAGUCUCCCUUGAGCAGAAGACCCCAAUUCCCAGAGGAACGAAAACAAUUCCAUUUGUGCUCCACGGAACUCAAGCAAAUACAACAGCACAUGUGUAAAUGGUGCCAACCUAGCAAUACAAACUCCAGGUGAAUUUAGGAAAACUGCAUUGCCCAUCUACAGUGGUUCUAUUAAUAAAACUGCACUGGUGCGUGAUUUGGUUUAAAAUACUGCUAUAGUCACUCUGCAUGUUUAUGAUUCCUGUGUUUUUGAAGUAAAAUGACACCAUAUAGAAAGGAGUCUAGAGUAUUACGUCAACACAAAUUCUAGGUGUAGAUGAACAGAAUAUUUUUUUUUUGAAUGAAAGUCAAUUUAUUAGCAUUACCCAUGAAAAGAAACUUCAGUGGUGUAACAUAAAACUUACAAGAUUUAUAAUGCAUAAAACUUGAACAGAAUAUUCUAUCUGUAGAAAUGGAAAUAGAAAGCAGAUAUUUCAUUACAACUACCUCCUGGAAACAUGUCAGAAAAAAUAGCCUGGGAACAAGAAACCUUUCUCCUUGAGGUCCAGCAUGAAGUUACUUCCUAUGGUCAUUAGAUGGCAGAUUUGGGCUUGUAGGGUAAUUUGUUCGCCUGCACAUGGCCACAGGAGCAGAAACAGAAGGCUCCAUCACCAGCACGGAGUUUAAAGAGUAAGAAGAAUCUAUUACAGUUGACCUUUGAACAGCAUGGGUUUGACCUGUGAGGAUCCACUUAUACGUUAAUUUUUUUCAAUAAAUACAUACAUACAACAGUAUCUGCAUUUGGUUGAAUCUGUGGAUGCGUGGAUCCAGACGGCCAGUCUGUAAAGUUAUCGGCAGAUUUUUGACUGCACAGAGGCUCAGUGUCCCUAACCCCUGCAUGACUGAAGGGUCAAAUGUAUAAAUAAUAUUUGGUGCUAGAUAUUAUGUGAGACAGAGAAGACAACCAACCUAAAUCCUCCCUUCCAGGAGCUAACGGCCUAGUAAGUAAGAGAGAGAAAUAAAUCUAGAUCAAUAACUUUAACACAAAGUAGUUAAUAUAAGGAAUUCCUGCUAUGGUGCAGUGGGUUAAGAAUCCAACUAUAUCGGCCUGGGUCACCGAGGAGGUGCGGGUUCAAUCCCUGGCCCAGCACAGUGGGUUAAAGGAUGUGGUGUUGCCACAGCUGAAGUGCAGUUUGCAGCCAUGGCUCCUAUUCAAUCCCAGGCUCGAGAACUUCCAUAUGCUGUGCGUGUGGCCAUAAAAUUAAAAAAAUAAAACGUAGAAAGAAAGAAAACACCAGAAGUGUUCACAGGAAGGAAGAGAUUCACACAAUUCUGGAGGAAGUGGGGGAAAAAAGAUCCAGAAGACAAAGGUCAGGCAAAUAUUGUCCUAAUUAUUUAAAAUGCAAAAAAGUGUUUGAAUGUCUCUCAGUGACCACAGGAUGGAGUCUGGAUUCCACAGAAGGAAGGCAAACAAUGUUCUCAAUGUUCUCUCUGAAUUGCUCCAGUUUCACUUCUGUCUGUCCUGACUCCUUCUCUGCAUCCUGAUGAAAGCAAAGUUUUUGUAGCUGCCCAUGUUCAACAGGAAGCUGGCUUUCUUCAUGCUGUUCCCUCUCACUAGAAUGCCCUUCUCCUUCUGUUUAUUCUUCCAGACUCAAGUAUUAUCUCCUUCAGAAAGUAUUGCCAAAAGUUGCCCUGCCCCCUCCUUGAUGCUCCUAUAGCAUCUGGCCCAUUUGCCUCCCAUGGUACUGAUGAUGCUGAAAUUAUCUUCUUGGGUAUCAGCCUCCCUGUGGAUCUAUCAUCAGCAUCUCCAGAGCUAGAUCACAUGCUCUUCAUCUCUGCACUUCAGUACCUAGCCCAGGGCUUGGUACUCUGCAGGUGCACAGUAAGUGUUUGUUGCUCUGCUAUAAGGCUGUUCUAGACUUAGGGAUUCUAUGUGGCUUGGGAAUACAAAGAAAAUAAAGUGGUGGUGAUUUUACAGCCUUUCUGAAGCUGCUCAGGACUCAUCCUUGUCCCCACCUAUUGUCUCCACUGAGACCAAGGUUCAUGCCUUCAAUUAAGUUACCAAGUUCUGAUGGACCGAUGGGUACCAGGUGGGUACCGAGAUUGCCAAAGAGCCUCUGACUCUCACUCUCAUGCCAGACAAUCUUGGAACAGAGGCAAAGGGAUACUGGCAAGAUUCCUCUAUCCUAUAAUAAAAAGUCAUUUUGUCAAACACCCACUUCAAUGAUAAUCCUAACCUUUACAAAAUGAUAGGAACAAAGAGAAAUGAACAAGGGAUGUCAUUGUCAUCAUUUGAGAUGUUGAAAAAUGGAAAAAUGACCAACCACUCUCUUUGAAAUAAUCUGGUUAAAAUAUUGAGCCAUGAAACCUCUGCUGGAUGUUCCAAGCAAGAGGGUUGAAAAUAUGAUCACAGGAGAACCAGAGAUUUUUCAAGGUGGUGGAUAUCGGAAUGAUCUGCUCCAAAGGGAAACUUUUUCAAAAGAAACAAGCAUGGGGGGGGUAAGGCAAAUCCUGUGCCACUGAUUCUGCAACAGGGUGAAAUUGUUCUAAGUUUUCCUUGACAACUUUGUUCAAAAUUGUCAAUAGUCAAUAAACUCCUGACAAAUGGAGCCCCAGACGCACUGAAUGAAUAGGAUAAGGUUCCCACUGCACUCCUGGUCCUUUCAUGAUACAGAUUCAAAACCCAGGGCUGAGACUCUCCAGGUAGAAACCAAAUCUUUUUAUUUUGCUUUCCCUAAAACACAACUAUAGGUAGACUCUCUAUGGGAUGUGACGUUUGGAGCUUUCCUCUUUCCUUCUGAAAUUUUUUUCAUAUGCAUUUCCAUCAGUUAUGGACCUGCUAUAAUUAAAAGUCAAACAAUGUGCAAUGACCUCAAAUGUCCACUGCUUUAUCAAAGUCCAGGUGAGUCACAAUAACCCCAUUUCUGUUAGGGUUACUAGAACAGGGGGAAUGCCAUAAGAGGAGCAUUGGAAAUAACUUCGAAUAGAGAACAGAGACAUAGGAAGAUGAAAAGAGAAUAAAAUUGGUUCCUGAAGCACUGAGAGUGAAAGUGUACUGAUUUGGAGAAGGUGACUUUCUGGGUUUCCUGAUAAUACAAAACAGUGAUUACAAGUGCUCCCUUGUAGGAGGUUGAGUGAGAAAAUGUAUAUAAAGUACCCGGGGGAAUGUUUGGAUGUCAUGGCAGCACCAAGAAUGGCAGGAGGGAUAAAAGUGUUUCAGGACAGCCCUGGGCAAUGGAAGUUGAGGCCAAGGCCAGCCAGGUCUUGACCGCCCAGCUCCUGUGUCAGAGGGAAAGUAUGUUCCUUGGAGGUGGGCAGGCUGGUGCAUACCCC
Molecule: long non-coding RNA, 4142 nt
Filed under: Sus scrofa (pig)
Lineage: Eukaryota; Metazoa; Chordata; Mammalia; Artiodactyla; Suidae
Description: lncRNA (ENSSSCG00030022688.1)
Source: RNAcentral